This is a long non-coding RNA of Megalobrama amblycephala (Wuchang bream), 834 nucleotides long. RefSeq lists it as uncharacterized. NCBI's taxonomy places the organism in Eukaryota, Metazoa, Chordata, Actinopteri, Cypriniformes, Xenocyprididae. The record is from RefSeq and is a predicted model, not a curated record. The transcript is spliced from 4 exons.
UACUUCCGCCAGAUUCUGAAGUGUUCCUCGCUGGAUACUUUUCUAUCUCAGGAGGCCACGGGAGAGGAUACGUCAUAAUCGAACACUUAGGAGAAAAGCGGCGCGGAUGCUGUCAAAUGGACAGAUGAGCACACGUGUGUUUAUCCGGUGGAGGAAUGAUGCCAUCAAAUGCUUUGAAGCUUUUGUGGAGCAGGACCUGCAAGAAAAGGUGACGGCGGGAUUUGUUAGAAAUAAAGAGGAAAGCCUGAAACAAAAUAUAAAGAUGUGAAUGUCCUCAGACUGGUGUGGGCACUGAGGAUGGAGAGCCACAGCAGAUCCUGGGAAUGGUUCAGUGUUAUGGACGAGAUCCUCCAUCACUCCUCCUUCCAAGUGACUCGAUCAAGGACACACUGGUGGAGACGCUGCAGAGAUCGAACCAGCAACCUUCUGCUGACCAGCUAAGUGGUUUAGACCACCACACCACAAAAGUAAUGAAGCUACAACAGAAAUUAGCAUGUAAUUGUAAAACUAUUAAAUGAAAUAUGGCAAGAAACAGAAUGCUGACAUGAAUUAAUUGUAAAAUGUUUUAAUCCGCUGAUGGAGAGCACAUGAAUGUUUGCAGCAGCCAUAUUGUCCCGCACAUCUUCUCCCACUCCUGCUUCAAGGUUGUGGGAUUCAGGGGUCCAUCAUCAUCAUCUUCCUCAUCCUCUGGGUCAACGAUGUCCCCAUUGAGAAGAGCAGCAGUGAGGGACAUGAUGAUGAAGGUGUUCAUCAGCUGCUUGAUCAGAAUAAAGCUGCAGAAUUGGCACAGCUGUGUUGAGAUGGCAGCAGGACUGUAAAUAUCUGAUUGUUAGA